GACGAACGCUGACGGCGUGCUUAACACAUGCAAGUCGAAGGGAGUGGCGAACGGGUGCGUAACACGUGAGUAACCUGCCCUUUUCUUUGGGAUAAGCCUGGGAAACUGGGUCUCAUACUGUAUGGUUUGGGAUGGUCACGCGGCGUAUCAGCUUGUUGGUGGGGUGAUGGCUUACCAAGGCUUUGACGGGUAGCCGGCCUGUGUGGGUGGACGGUCACACUGGGACUGAGAGACGGCCCAGAAUCCUAAGGGAGGCAGCAGUGGGGGAUAUUGCACAAUGGACGAAAGUCUGAUGCAGCGACAUCGUGUGGGGGAUGAAGGCCUUCGGGUUGUAAACUCCUUUCGACCGCGGAAUGGUAGUGGGUAAAAAAGCGACGGCUAACUACGUGCCAGCAGCCGCGGUAAUUC
This 408-nucleotide ribosomal RNA is filed under the name uncultured bacterium. RNAcentral describes it as "partial 16S ribosomal RNA". It matches the Rfam family "Bacterial small subunit ribosomal RNA", at positions 28 to 526 of the family's 1533-position model. The record is from RNAcentral.